AGUGAACGCUGGCGGCGUGCCUAAUACAUGCAAGUCGAACGGAAUUUAAAAGAGCUUGCUCUUUUAAAUUUAGUGGCGCACGAGUGAGUAAUAUAUAGCUAAUCUGCCCCUUGCUGGAGGACAACAGUUAGAAAUGACUGCUAAUACUCCAUACUCCUUUUUACCAUAAGAUAAAUCGGGAAAGAAUUUCGGCAAGGGAUGAGACUAUAUCGUAUCAGCUAGUCGGUGGGGUAACGGCCUACCGAGGCUAUGACGCGUAACUGGUCUGAGAGGAUGAUCAGUCACAUUGGAACUGAGACACGGUCCAAACUCCUACGGGAGGCAGCAGUAGGGAAUAUUGCGCAAUGGGGGAAACCCUGACGCAGCAACGCCGCGUGGAGGAUGACACUUUUCGGAGCGUAAACUCCUUUUGUUAGGGAAGA
This 422-nucleotide ribosomal RNA is filed under the name Campylobacter gracilis. Its description in RNAcentral is "bacterial SSU rRNA". It matches the Rfam family "Bacterial small subunit ribosomal RNA", at positions 29 to 448 of the family's 1533-position model. The record is from RNAcentral. Lineage: Bacteria; Pseudomonadati; Campylobacterota; Epsilonproteobacteria; Campylobacterales; Campylobacteraceae.